RNAcentral lists this ribosomal RNA (253 nucleotides) under uncultured bacterium. Its description in RNAcentral is "partial 16S ribosomal RNA". It matches the Rfam family "Bacterial small subunit ribosomal RNA", at positions 524 to 776 of the family's 1533-position model. The record is from RNAcentral.
UACAGAGGGUGCAAACGUUGCUCGGAAUUAUUGGGCGUAAAGCGCACGUAGGCGGCCAUGUAAGUCAGGAGUGAAAGCCCUCGGCUUAACCGGGGAAGUGCUUUUGAAACUGCAUGGCUUGAAUACUGAAGAGGGUCGCGGAAUUCCCGGUGUAGAGGUGAAAUUCGUAGAUAUCGGGAGGAACACCAGUGGCGAAGGCAGCUCGCUGGGACGGUACUGACGCUGAGACGCGAAAGCGUGGGGAGCAAACAGG